GGGGAUUUAGCUCAGUGGUAGAGCGCUUGCCGAGCAAGUGCAAGGCCCUGGGUUCAGUCCCCA
Molecule: transfer RNA, 63 nt
Filed under: Rattus norvegicus (Norway rat)
Lineage: Eukaryota; Metazoa; Chordata; Mammalia; Rodentia; Muridae
Rfam family: tRNA
About the family: Transfer RNA (tRNA) molecules are approximately 80 nucleotides in length. Their secondary structure includes four short double-helical elements and three loops (D, anti-codon, and T loops). Further hydrogen bonds mediate the characteristic L-shaped molecular structure. tRNAs have two regions of fundamental functional importance: the anti-codon, which is responsible for specific mRNA codon recognition, and the 3' end, to which the tRNAs corresponding amino acid is attached (by aminoacyl-tRNA synthetases). tRNAs cope with the degeneracy of the genetic code in two manners: having more than one tRNA (with a specific anti-codon) for a particular amino acid; and 'wobble' base-pairing, i.e. permitting non-standard base-pairing at the 3rd anti-codon position.
Source: Rfam by way of RNAcentral